This 484-nucleotide ribosomal RNA is filed under the name uncultured bacterium. Its description in RNAcentral is "partial 16S ribosomal RNA". It matches the Rfam family "Bacterial small subunit ribosomal RNA", at positions 30 to 507 of the family's 1533-position model. The record is from RNAcentral.
AUUGAACGCUGGCGGCAGGCCUAACACAUGCAAGUCGAGCGGAUGAAGGGAGCUUGCUCCUGGAUUCAGCGGCGGACGGGUGAGUAAUGCCUAGGAAUCUGCCUGGUAGUGGGGGAUAACGUCCGGAAACGGGCGCUAAUACCGCAUACGUCCUGAGGGAGAAAGUGGGGGAUCUUCGGACCUCACGCUAUCAGAUGAGCCUAGGUCGGAUUAGCUAGUUGGUGGGGUAAAGGCCUACCAAGGCGACGAUCCGUAACUGGUCUGAGAGGAUGAUCAGUCACACGGGAACUGAGACACGGUCCAGACUCCUACGGGAGGCAGCAGUGGGGAAUAUUGGACAAUGGGCGAAAGCCUGAUCCAGCCAUGCCGCGUGUGUGAAGAAGGUCUUCGGAUUGUAAAGCACUUUAAGUUGGGAGGAAGGGCAGUAAGUUAAUACCGUGCUGUUUUGACGUUACCAACAGAAUAAGCACCGGCUAACUUCGUG